This 58-nucleotide microRNA precursor is filed under the name Drosophila mojavensis. RNAcentral describes it as "Dmo-Mir-960_pre stem-loop". The record is from RNAcentral. Lineage: Eukaryota; Metazoa; Arthropoda; Insecta; Diptera; Drosophilidae.
UGAGUAUUCCUUAUUGCAUAGUUUACAUAUAAUUACUAUACAGUCUGGAGCACUUAAA